Molecule: ribosomal RNA, 549 nt
Filed under: Bacillus sp. (in: firmicutes)
Lineage: Bacteria; Bacillati; Bacillota; Bacilli; Caryophanales; Bacillaceae
Description: bacterial SSU rRNA
Rfam family: Bacterial small subunit ribosomal RNA
Source: RNAcentral
ACUUGGUCUUAUGAAUGUAGCGUCGGACAGGUGAGUAGCACGUGUGUAACCCGCCCUUAUCACUGGGAAUACUCCGGGAAACCGGGGCUUAUACCCGAUAACAUUUUGAACCGCAUGGCUCGAAAUUGUCAGGCCGCUUCCGCUGUCACGUAUGGAUGGACCCUCAUCUCAUUAGCUAGUUGGUGACGCAACGGCUCAACAAUGCAACGAUGCUCAGACAACCUGAUAGGGCGAUCUGCCACUCUGACACUGACACAACGCCCACACUCCUACGGGAGGCAGCAUUAUGGAAUCUUCCCCAAUGCACGAAACUCUGACAGAGCAACGCCGCGUGAGUGAUUAAGGCUUUCGGGUCCUAUUGCUCUGUUGUAAGGGAAGAACGAUUGCUACCUGAAGAAACUGGCGCCUUGACGGAACCUACCCAGAAUGCCUCCGCUACCUACGUGCCAGCAACCCCGGUGAUACAUACGUGGCUCGCAAUUUCCGGAAUUAUUGCGCGUAAAGCUCGCGCAUGUGGUUUCUUAUGUCUGAUGUGAACUCCCACGGCUC